Anas platyrhynchos (mallard) is the source of this 6301-nucleotide non-coding RNA. NCBI's taxonomy places the organism in Eukaryota, Metazoa, Chordata, Aves, Anseriformes, Anatidae. The record is from RefSeq and is a predicted model, not a curated record.
AGGUGGAUGGUGUCAACCUAACAGCUCUUUGCCAUGGAGGAAAGGUCAGACCUACCGCUUCACUUUUGCAAGCUCUUGUGCUUGUCCAAACUCCUGAUGAGCCAGUUUAGCUCACCAAGCUGGCAGAAAACUGUGUAAGAAGGAGGAAAUGCAUGUGUGAUCGUGCAGGGAAGAAAGCAUUCCCAGUAUGAGGUGGAUGAUGGCACUAUAUGGCCAGAAAGGGGCAAAAGGGAGCAGAUUCAGCCCUUCUUGUAGAGGUGAAGUUAACAAUCAGAUUGCUAUGGCAAUGCCCAUAUGGGCAUGCUGUUAACUAGAGCUCAGAGGAAUAUGUGAAUUCCUGGAAAAUCAGAGAGAAAGAGGAAGAUAACUGAUAGAUCACCUUGGCAGUGUUGCUGUGCUUAUCCCCAAGACAAGAAGGAGGGACAUCUACAGCAGUUUUCAGAGGGAUUAGAAGCAUUGCAUGUGAAGAUUACCACAGGACGUGGUCUAGAAUAGCUACAUCAAAAGCAAGAGAGCGUUUGAACAUUCAUUGUCUGAAGACACAAAAUUUGUGGGGAACUCCCAUGGCUGGAAGGCAAAAAAUGUGAAAAGAACAGAAGACUGGGAUGAGUAUACUGAGAAGAGUAUAUGAGUUGCUGAACAUUUACACCUGGGGGUCUGUAAGUGCAGUGACAAUGUUUGAGUGUCACAGUAUUUACAGAUUCUGGAUGUUUGUCCCUGUGAAUCCUGAAGUUGUAGCAGCCCUCAUCUUUUCUUAAAUGCCCCCCCUUAAGUCCAGUGUUCCUCUGUGAGGUGCAUUUGCUGGGGGGACCUGUGGUAGCCUGGAGGACAUUUGUCCAUCCGGCAGCUUCACUGGGGCUCUCCGUAUCAAACACAGCUCUGACUGUGGAAAUAAUUCCUUGUUGUAACUGUUAAAUUACACACUUCAGUUUCGCUGAACAUGUGAUCAAGUUUUUUAAAUUCUGUUCUUGAAUUCUUCUAUGAGACAGUUUGUGGAAAAAAUAUAGGGAAAUCUCAAAGCCAGGAUGCUGCUUUGCCUCAUGCUGGUAACUAGAGUUUUCUUUCUUAUUAUUUCUUAUGUGGUAACUCUAUAAUGGUUCAAAAAAAACAAAAUCCCAUUUCUCUCUGAAUUCCAUUUGUUUUCAGCAUCAAUUAGAAAGAUAAGGGCUGCUUCACUUAAUUUGGAGGACAGCAAGUCAUGGAUUUAAGUGGAGAGGAUUUUUUCUUUCACAAGAAGCACCUAGAGUGUAGGGUUAAUUUUCCUUUGACAUAGUUUCCUUGGUUUUAUUUCCUUUAACAGAACUCCUUUGUUUUAUAUGUUUGAUAAUUGUUUCAUUAUGUAGUGGCACACCAUCCUACGGGACUCUGCAAAAUGCUCCAAACGUCCCUUUUUGCGCGUACAGCUCCGACAACCUGGACUUGUUUUAGGAGGGUGUCUUCAACUGGAGUAAUUUUUCCCCCCAUUAAAUCCGAGGAUGGAGAGGAAAUUGCGAGGGUGAACCUUUCAGCUUCGGGGAGAUGGGGACAGGACGCUUGGUCAUGUGGAAGAGGCACAGCUCGGUGCCACCUGGUGGCAACAGAUAAUAUGUUUUUAACAGAUUUCUGCCUGCCUUUGAACUGCUGGGUCUGAUUGAUCAAAGGCAGGUCCAAGCGUUCAGCUGCAGGUUCAAACACAGGAUUGCCUCUCACUUUGUGUUUGUUUCUUUUUUUUUUUUUUUUUUUUCUUUUUUUUUUUUUUUUCCCCUCAAUUGCAAACAGCUCACAAAACAUGCUUGCUUUUUUAAAAGCUUGCAGUCUGUUCUUAACUCCUGGCAUGGGAUUAGAGAGGAAAGAGGCCAAAAAUUUGCUGACAUAAGUGCAGCAGAAGAAAUCUUAAUUUCAGUUAUAUAAUAAGGCAAAUGUUCGACUUAAAUAUGUUUUCUUCAUAAAACUGGAUCUCUAAAUUCAAUUACUUCUAUAAAAGAGAUUUGAAAUAUAGCUUGUUUUUGUGUAAUAUGCUGUUCACAUUACUGUGAGCAGUUUGCCCCUGUUGAGUUUUUACAUGUUCACUAAUUACAGUGGCACUGAGUCAAUUCCGACUUCAUUAAAUCAGUGUAAGCCUUCAGGGACUACUGAUUUGUCCUGCUGUAAUGAGCAGCUUGUUGCACAUCAUCCUUAGGAAGAACUGAAUAGUGUUUAAAAAAAAUGAUGGUGAAACACUGGGAAAUGUGGAGUUGCAAGGUAUAAAAAUGUGAUCACAUUUUGGUGAGCUCUGAGACUCGUGGUGCAAGAAGCAGAGUGGAUCACGAUGUAGCACUUCAGCAAUUGCAGAGGACUUUUGGGGCUGUUUUCUGAUGGUAAGAGGAAGAAGUGGUGCUUAUUGUGCAGGGAUAAAAAGAAUAAAACUGAAAAUGUGUUUUCAGAGAGUAGAACAAGCAGAGGGGACUGCUUCUGCUGCACUGACUAUCAUCUGUGCCAGCUUAGAGUAAGAUAAAAUACCUUUAUAGGUAUGGCUAUCAUAUCGAGAGCUUCGGUACAUGGCAAAAAAGCCCUCUGAGAAGCUAGGUGAAUACUCAUGUGGCCAGACAUGCUAAUCUGCAGGGGUCUGAGGCAGUGCUACAAGAUAGGUAAAAGCCAGCUGAAAUAUUUCUGCAGCAGCUUGGCCUUCAGCAUCAGCAUUUGAGUGCCCUUUCUCGUGAGUACCUACAAAGCCUGCAAAACAAAAGUGUCCACAGCAGGGACGUACGUAGAGCUCUUUCCUUUUCUCCCUGUCUGCUCUAGCAGGCAUUCACAGCUCUCGGAUCGACUGCCAUGAGCUCUCUAAAAACCACUGCUGCUAAAAUAGAUAGUAAAGAGCAUACAGGCAGCCUUUGUGCAUGCGUUUUGCCAAAAUACCUAAUCCCAGAGGUGCUGGGGUUUAACUACAUGCUAAAAGCUAGUUUGCCAUCUCGUGGCUGGAAAGAGAACGCCACGAGAUGCAACCAGAUGCUCUGUUUGGAUGACUGCUCGGGUUUGUUUCAUGAGAGAGAAAUAAAACAUCUGAUUAACAGCAGUGUGUUUAGGAACCCUCUCCCCUCACUACAAAUAAUUCAUGAAUGUUCCAGGAAGUGUGAACAUAAUAAAUAACCUCUAAUAGCCAAGGCAGAGUGACAGGUAUUAGACAAGAUACUGGUCUGGCCUGUGUUUUAAAGGAUAUUAUUCUCUGAUUUUUUUCUUUACAACAGUUCUCUCUACCAGUCCCAGUUAUAUUUUGACCCAGCAUGGGAGAAUGGUUGAGAAGUCAAACUAAAGAGUAAUAUUUUUCUCAAAGGAGUGAAAGUGGAGGCAUGAGCAAUUUUUAAGAAUUGUAUUCAAUCCCUCUUUUGUUCUGUUUCAUCCCUAGUACACCACUGCCUCUCAGACUUGUGGUUUUUGUUUGUCAGAUUUAAAAUAGAAAAAGAGAUUGUUUUGUUUGCUAAAACUGGGAUGGACGUGGCAAGUCCAAGAACCGUUUCAAGUGACAGAAACAAAGCUGCAUGUACAAAUGUUUGUAUCACCUUUCUUUUUUUUUUUUUUUUUUUAUAAUAGGUUACAUUUCUUAGUGUUUUUUUCUUGGUACCCUUUUACAUUUCUCUUCUUUCACAGAAUGUAAGUCAUUUCAGUCUAUUUCAUAUUUUUUUGAGACUCGGUCCUGAAAGGCGUCCAACAAUUCAUGAUCCAGCAAAGUUCUUACCAAAUAAUUAUCUUCAAAAUGGACAACUAGGUAAUUAAGAGGUCUCUAACCUCUUAAUGUCACAGUGCCUUCACAGUACUUGCAGAGUUUGCUGUGCAAUUAGUGCUGCUCUGGGGCUGGGUCAAAGUUCUCAGCACUUCACGGGAUAAAGCCUCUAAGGCCUGUGUCAUUUUCAGCCCUUUAUUUGCUACAGCUGCUCGGUCAGGUGGCUUUUGCAUCUUCCAGAGGUUUCUCAUUUAAAAAAUGUUCUUAGGAGGAGAUCAGAGUAAGAGACCUGUGUUUGUGCUGCUUUGCUAGCCCAGGAUAUGGGAUGUGAUAGCCUAAUUCUCUGCUUUGACUCGAGCAUGAACUUUGAUCUCCAAGACCAAAGAGAGGGGAUAAAGCCAAGCACAGAAGAGGAAGGAAGUUUUUCUGAGUUUAGCCUCAUCAAGAUACAGAGAUGUCAACAGGAGUGACAUCCUGGUCAAAACAAGUGCACGUGCAUGUCCCCUCAAGUUCGGUUCAUGAACAAAGAGUGAUCCGAAAAUCUGACACAUUCCUUCAGACAACUCCCACUCAGCUCUGCCUCCAAGUGCAUUUUAUGUAAUGCUAUCAUCUCUCAACUCAUCAGAAAGUGAAGGAAACAAACAGCUAGAGGAGUGCUUGGAAUGAGCAAAAUAGAGCCAGCAAACCACCCAUCAUCAGGUAGAGUCUGUACCGCAUAAAUUAAUCUUUCCUACAGAUAUGUAUGACAUUUUCCACUCUUUCUUUCCCCAGUGUGAAUCUGCCACAACUUCAUUGUAAUUUAAUGAUACCGGGAGUCUUGAAUGAAGUAUUUUAAUGUUGUCAUUUGUGGAUUUAACUGUGCUUCCAUCAAGGGAAAAAAAUCAUGUUGGAAAUUAUGGACAGAACAAAACUUUAUGGAAGAAAAUUAAUGUCACUAUAAAUACACAUGAAGAUCCCCAGCAUAUUAGUAAUGGUCACAGAUGUGCCUCACCUCCUGUCAGAAAGACAAACAGCUGAUGAAGAUGGUCAUGACAAGCAAGAAGAACGAUGGGAGAAGGAACAGGAUAAUCUAGUAGCUUGGACUAACUCUCUGUCUAACAAAAGAUUAAGUGAUUAAAUCAGAGAGGCUGCAUGUACAGAUAAGUCCUUUAUUAUUUAAAUAUCUCAGGAUUAUUUUUUUUUACAAUUCCUACCAGACAAAUCUUCAGUUCACUGCUUGUUUAUUUGUUUUCCAGCAUGGUGCUUUGGUUAGAGAUUGAGCAGGAAUGGAACAAGGAUCUGUUCUGCGCAUGCAGGCCUGGCAUUUUAUCAGGAUUUAUGCCCUCCCCUAGUCCUUGGUGGUUUGUUGCUGUAAUUUUUUGAAUCUUAUCACCUAAAUAACUUGGUGUCUUUAGGUAUUGUAACCUCUGCUGGUACUACAGCAGUGACAAGAUGUAGGCAAUCCUGUGAAGAAACAUCUAGUACUGAAUGCACAGAACAAAAUAUCUGCCGUUGCUUGUUUCAGAAUCAGACUAUGUUUGUAUUCAGAACUGAAAAACCAAUAAUGUUAUUUUUGCACUCCAGCGUUAAAUUAUAUCUUGUGUUCUGUUGGUCUUUGUACUGUAUAUGACAUGUGUGACUGUGGCCUAUUGUUUUUCUGAAAGAACUGUACUCAUCUCUUAUCUCUUCUGGGCUUAUCAGCUGUAGCCAUCACUAAGUAAUCAACGCAGCUGUGUUUAGACCUAUAGAAAGGGCAAAUGACAUGUAGGUAGACAGGACAGUAGAGAUUCCUACAGCUUGGAUCCAGGCUCAGGUUUCAAGAGGCAGCCUGGUACACUCAUUAAGUAAGCCAGAGCCUUGCGUUUACAAAGCCAUGCGGUUACAAAGUUCACAGGAUCACAUUCACAGAAGAUCUCUGAGAUUACAAAAGAAAUGUUUUUACAGUCUUCAAGGCACUGGCUUCUUCACAUGUCUGUACACUGCCUAUUGAGAGGUGUGUGUUUUAAUACUUGUACACUUUGUCCCAGGGAAAAAAUAAACCUUAGGACUGGAGCAUAAUGAUGACAGACCAGAGUACUAUGGUGUAGGAAUCCAUUAGAAAUUUUGGUUGUGUAAUUAAACUUCAAAAAUAUUUCGCAGAAUACCUAGAGAUAAAAAGAUAUGAAUGUCAGACCUCUGAAACCUGUUCCCAAGCUGACACAGCAGGCAAGCAGGGCAGCUAUCACAAAACCACCCCAUUCCACGGCCAGGGCUGUGUGUGUGUAACGCACAUGACAUUUCUUCUCAGUAACAGGAAGCUUGGGAUUUUUAUGACCACAAGGAUGGUGUUGAAAGAAUAAAAACAUUGAAAACUGUAUUAUACCUAUAUACAGCCAUGCCUGUAGGCACUGCAGUAUUUAAGAAGAGAGCACAGGACUGAAGAAUAGAUAACCUGUCAUCUCUCCACAGCUGUGCUGCUAUGAUGUGACCAUGAUCAAGUCAUUUCACCUUCCUAAGACUUCUUUCUCAUUUGACCUCUCCUGUCUGAGAGGGCAGUAAAGGUACAGAGUUUGUUUCUUUGUUGUGCUCGAAUGUUCACAGCAUGCUUUUCAUGCUCUGAAAAGAUUGUGGCAUUUCUCUAGCUAAGCAGGACCCUUGGAGCUUAUC